UCGUGAAUUCAUCUCCGGGGGUAGAGCACUGUUUCGGCUAGGGGGCCAUCCCGGCUUACCAACCCGAUGCAAACUGCGAAUACCGGAGAAUGUUAUCACGGGAGACACACGGCGGGUGCUAACGUCCGUCGUGAAGAGGGAAACAACCCAGACCGCCAGCUAAGGUCCCAAAGUCAUGGUUAAGUGGGAAACGAUGUGGGAAGGCCCAGACAGCCAGGAUGUUGGCUUAGAAGCAGCCAUCAUUUAAAGAAAGCGUAAUAGCUCACUGGUCGAGUCGGCCUGCGCGGAAGAUGUAACGGGGCUAAACCAUGCACCGAAGCUGCGGCAGCGACACUCAGGUGUUGUUGGGUAGGGGAGCGUUCUGUAAGCCUGUGAAGGUGGCCUGUGAGGGUUGCUGGAGGUAUCAGAAGUGCGAAUGCUGACAUAAGUAACGAUAAAGCGGGUGAAAAGCCCGCUCGCCGGAAGACCAAGGGUUCCUGUCCAACGUUAAUCGGGGCAGGGUGAGUCGACCCCUAAGGCGAGGCCGAAAGGCGUAGUCGAUGGGAAACGGGUUAAUAUUCCCGUACUUGGUGUUACUGCGAAGGGGGGACGGAGAAGGCUAUGUUGGCCGGGCGACGGUUGUCCCGGUUUAAGCGUGUAGGUGUGUGUUCCAGGUAAAUCCGGUUCACUUUAACACUGAGGCGUGAUGACGAGGCACUACGGUGCUGAAGCAACAAAUGCCCUGCUUCCAGGAAAAGCCUCUAAGCAUCAGGUAACAUCAAAUCGUACCCCAAACCGACACAGGUGGUCAGGUAGAGAAUACCAAGGCGCUUGAGAGAACUCGGGUGAAGGAACUAGGCAAAAUGGUGCCGUAACUUCGGGAGAAGGCACGCUGACAUGUAGGUGAAGUGAUUUACUCAUGGAGCUGAAGUCAGUCGAAGAUACCAGCUGGCUGCAACUGUUUAUUAAAAACACAGCACUGUGCAAACACGAAAGUGGACGUAUACGGUGUGACGCCUGCCCGGUGCCGGAAGGUUAAUUGAUGGGGUCAGCGCAAGCGAAGCUCCUGAUCGAAGCCCCGGUAAACGGCGGCCGUAACUAUAACGGUCCUAAGGUAGCGAAAUUCCUUGUCGGGUAAGUUCCGACCUGCACGAAUGGCGUAAUGAUGGCCAGGCUGUCUCCACCCGAGACUCAGUGAAAUUGAACUCGCUGUGAAGAUGCAGUGUACCCGCGGCAAGACGGAAAGACCCCGUGAACCUUUACUAUAGCUUGACACUGAACAUUGAGCCUUGAUGUGUAG
RNAcentral lists this ribosomal RNA (1279 nucleotides) under Salmonella enterica subsp. enterica serovar Derby. RNAcentral's name for it is "partial 23S ribosomal RNA". It matches the Rfam family "Bacterial large subunit ribosomal RNA", at positions 882 to 2141 of the family's 2925-position model. The record is from RNAcentral. Lineage: Bacteria; Pseudomonadati; Pseudomonadota; Gammaproteobacteria; Enterobacterales; Enterobacteriaceae.